GGGCAGGUACCAAAGUGGUUAACUGGGGCAGACUGUAAAUCUGCUGGCUAAGCCUUCGGGGGUUCGAAUCCCUCCCUGCCCACCA
RNAcentral lists this transfer RNA (85 nucleotides) under Candidatus Wolfebacteria bacterium CG10_big_fil_rev_8_21_14_0_10_31_9. RNAcentral's name for it is "tRNA-Tyr". It matches the Rfam family "tRNA". Rfam says of the family: Transfer RNA (tRNA) molecules are approximately 80 nucleotides in length. Their secondary structure includes four short double-helical elements and three loops (D, anti-codon, and T loops). Lineage: Bacteria; Candidatus Wolfeibacteriota. The record is from RNAcentral.